UAGAGUUUGAUCCUGGCUCAGAUUGAACGCUGGCGGCAGGCUUAACACAUGCAAGUCGAGCGGGGAAAGGUAGCUUGCUACCUAACCUAGCGGCGGACGGGUGAGUAAUGCUUAGGAAUCUGCCUAUUAGUGGGGGACAACAUUCCGAAAGGAAUGCUAAUACCGCAUACGCCCUACGGGGGAAAGCAGGGGAUCUUCGGACCUUGCGCUAAUAGAUGAGCCUAAGUCAGAUUAGCUAGUUGGUGGGGUAAAGGCCUACCAAGGCGACGAUCUGUAGCGGGUCUGAGAGGAUGAUCCGCCACACUGGGACUGAGACACGGCCCAGACUCCUACGGGAGGCAGCAGUGGGGAAUAUUGGACAAUGGGCGAAAGCCUGAUCCAGCCAUGCCGCGUGUGUGAAGAAGGCCUUUUGGUUAUAAAGCACUUUAAGCGAGGAGGAGGCUACUUAGAUUAAUACUCUAGGAUAGUGGACGUUACUCGCAGAAUAAGCACCGGCUAACUCUGUGCCAGCAGCCGCGGUAAUACAGAGGGUGCGAGCGUUAAUCGGAUCUACUGGGCGUAAAGCGUGCGUAGGCGGCUUCUUAAGUCGGAUGUGAAAUCCCUGAGCUUAACUUAGGAAUUGCACUCGAUACUGGGAAGCUAGAGUAUGGGAGAGGAUGGUAGAGUUCCAGGUGUAGCGGUGAAAUGCGUAGAGAUCUGGAGGAAUACCGAUGGCGAAGGCAGCCAUCUGGCCUAAUACUGACGCUGAGUACGAGC
This 756-nucleotide ribosomal RNA is filed under the name uncultured bacterium. RNAcentral describes it as "bacterial SSU rRNA". It matches the Rfam family "Bacterial small subunit ribosomal RNA", at positions 1 to 758 of the family's 1533-position model. The record is from RNAcentral.